This 375-nucleotide ribosomal RNA is filed under the name uncultured bacterium. RNAcentral describes it as "bacterial SSU rRNA". It matches the Rfam family "Bacterial small subunit ribosomal RNA", at positions 30 to 405 of the family's 1533-position model. The record is from RNAcentral.
AUUGAACGCUGGCGGCAGGCCUAACACAUGCAAGUCGAGCGGUAGAGAGGUGCUUGCAUCUCUUGAGAGCGUCGGACGGGUGAGUAAUGCCUAGGAAUCUGCCUAGUGGUGGGGGAUAACGUUCGGAAACGGACGCUAAUACCGCAUACGUCCUACGGGAGAAAGCGGGGGAUCUUCGGACCUCGCGCCAUUAGAUGAGCCUAGGUCGGAUUAGCUAGUUGGUGAGGUAAUGGCUCACCAAGGCGACGAUCCGUAACUGGUCUGAGAGGAUGAUCAGUCACACUGGAACUGAGACACGGUCCAGACUCCUACGGGAGGCAGCAGUGGGGAAUAUUGGACAAUGGGCGAAAGCCUGAUCCAGCCAUGCCGCGUGUG